Molecule: ribosomal RNA, 402 nt
Filed under: Serratia symbiotica
Lineage: Bacteria; Pseudomonadati; Pseudomonadota; Gammaproteobacteria; Enterobacterales; Yersiniaceae
Description: partial 23S ribosomal RNA
Rfam family: Bacterial large subunit ribosomal RNA
Source: RNAcentral
UAAUAAAAAUAAUUUUGAAUAAUUUACAAACUAAAGCAAUAGUCUUUUAUUAUUUAAUUUAUUUUUGAAUUAUGAGUAUGUUUAGACACGUGAAAUCUUUACAGAAUAAAGGGGGACCAUCCUCUAAGGCUAAAUACUAAUAGUUAACCGAUAGUGAAUUAGUACCGUGAGGGAAAGAUGAAAUAGAACCUUUAAAUAGGAGUGAAAUAGAACCUGAAAUUAUAUACGUAAAAGCAAUAGAAGCUGAAAAGUAACUAUAUACCUUUUGUAUAAUGGGUCAGCGACUUAUUUUUUUUAGCAAGCUUAACUUAAGGUAGGCGAAGAGAAAUCAAGUCUGAAAGGGCGAAAGUUAAAAACAAUAGACCCGAAACCGAGCGAUCUAUCUAUAAACAGGUUGAAGGU